CGAGGAAAAGAAAUCAACCGAGAUUCCGAAAGUAGCGGCGAGCGAAAUUGGACUAGCCCUUAAGCUUUACACGCGUUAGACGAACGGUCUGGAAAGUCCGACGAUACAGGGUGAUAGUCCCGUAGUUGACGACGUGUGUUCAGUGAAAUCGAGUAGGGCGGGACACGUGAUAUCCUGUCUGAAUAUGGGGGGACCAUCCUCCAAGGCUAAAUACUACUGACUGACCGAUAGUGAACCAGUACCGUGAGGGAAAGGCGAAAAGAACCCCUGUGAGGGGAGUGAAAUAGAACCUGAAACCGUGUACGUACAAGCAGUAGGAGCAGGCUUUGUCCUGUGACUGCGUACCUUUUGUAUAAUGGGUCAGCGACUUAUAUUCAGUGGCAAGGUUAACCAUCUAGGGGAGCCGUAGGGAAACCGAGUCUUAACUGGGCGUUCAGUCUCUGGAUAUAGACCCGAAACCAGGUGAUCUAGCCAUGGGCAGGUUGAAGGUUGAGUAACAUCAACUGGAGGACCGAACCGACUAAUGUUGAAAAAUUAGCGGAUGACUUGUGGCUAGGGGUGAAAGGCCAAUCAAACCUGGAGAUAGCUGGUUCUCCCCGAAAGCUAUUUAGGUAGCGCCUCGGACGAAUACUACUGGGGGUAGAGCACUGUUAAGGCUAGGGGGUCAUCCCGACUUACCAACCCUUUGCAAACUCCGAAUACCAGUAAGUACUAUCCGGGAGACACACGGCGGGUGCUAACGUCCGUCGUGGAGAGGGAAACAACCCAGACCGCCAGCUAAGGUCCCAAAUUACUACUAAGUGGGAAACGAUGUGGGAAGGCUCAGACAGCCAGGAUGUUGGCUUAGAAGCAGCCAUCAUUUAAAGAAAGCGUAAUAGCUCACUGGUCGAGUCGGCCUGCGCGGAAGAUGUAACGGGGCUAAGUAGUAAACCGAAGCUGCGGCAAUGUGCUUUUGCACAUUGGGUAGGGGAGCGUUCUGUAAGCGGUUGAAGGUGUGUGGUAACGCAUGCUGGACGUAUCAGAAGUGCGAAUGCUGACAUGAGUAACGAUAAAGGGGGUGAAAAACCUCCUCGCCGGAAGACCAAGGGUUCCUGUCCAACGUUAAUCGGGGCAGGGUAAGUCGACCCCUAAGGCGAGGCCGAAAGGCGUAGUCGAUGGGAAACGGGUUAAUAUUCCCGUACUUCUUACAAUUGCGAUGGGGGGACGGAGAAGGCUAGGUGGGCCUGGCGACGGUUGUC
Molecule: ribosomal RNA, 1238 nt
Filed under: Vibrio parahaemolyticus
Lineage: Bacteria; Pseudomonadati; Pseudomonadota; Gammaproteobacteria; Vibrionales; Vibrionaceae
Description: partial 23S ribosomal RNA
Rfam family: Bacterial large subunit ribosomal RNA
Source: RNAcentral